GAAGGGAAAGAAGGUAGCUUCACCUCAGGGAGGCCGACGUGCCUAAGUAAAUGUUUCUACGGCAAAGUCUCCACUCAUUACGGAUAUGGAGGUGGUGCAAGGCCUUACUCAACCGUGCUUCUGGCUACAUGAGUGCGUUAGCGAUGCAGACGAUGAAGCAAUGAUUGAGAUUAAGUUGUCGGACCACCAAUUCCACUACAUUGAGGAAACAUCGACCUUCAUUUCUAAGGUUGAUAUUAAAGAAUUCUUACUUGGGGACGAGUUGAAUGUUUCCAUGAUACAAACAUUCAUGAGGCUAUUAUACAAUGAUUUGAGGCAAUCUAGUCAGCCAAUGUUUGGUUGGUUA
This is a long non-coding RNA of Beta vulgaris subsp. vulgaris (sugar beet), 346 nucleotides long. RefSeq lists it as uncharacterized. The transcript has 2 exons. Lineage: Eukaryota; Viridiplantae; Streptophyta; Magnoliopsida; Caryophyllales; Amaranthaceae. The record is from RefSeq and is a predicted model, not a curated record.